Molecule: ribosomal RNA, 738 nt
Filed under: uncultured eukaryote
Lineage: Eukaryota
Description: SSU rRNA
Rfam family: Eukaryotic small subunit ribosomal RNA
Source: RNAcentral
UGGUAUGUACUGAUCUUUACUGAUUCCUCCUUCCUGAUGAACCGUAAUGCCAUUAAUUUGGUGUUGCGGGGAGACUGGACUGUUACUUUGAAAAAAUUAGAGUGUUUAAAGCAGGCUAACGCUUGAAUACAUUAGCAUGGAAUAAUGAAAUAGGACGUUCGAUCCUAUUUUGUUGGUUUCUAGGAUUGACGUAAUGAUUAAUAGGGAUAGUUGGGGGCAUUAGUAUUCAAUUGUCAGAGGUGAAAUUCUUGGAUUUAUUGAAGACUAACUACUGCGAAAGCAUUUGCCAAGGAUGUUUUCAUUAAUCAAGAACGAAAGUUAGGGGAUCGAAGACGAUCAGAUACCGUCGUAGUCUUAACCAUAAACUAUGCCGACUAGGGAUCGGAUGAUGUUAAUUUUUUAAUGACUCAUUCGGCGCCUUACGGGAAACCAAAGUGUUUGGGUUCCGGGGGGAGUAUGGUCGCAAGGCUGAAACUUAAAGGAAUUGACGGAAGGGCACCACCAGGGGUGGAGCCUGCGGCUUAAUUUGACUCAACACGGGGAAACUCACCAGGUCCAGACAUAGUAAGGAUUGACAGAUUGAGAGCUCUUUCUUGAUUCUAUGGGUGGUGGUGCAUGGGCCGUUCUUAGUUGGUGGAGUGAUUUGUCUGGUUAAUUCCGUUAACGAACGAGACCUUAACCUCCUAAAUAGCUAGGCUUAACUUUGUUAAGUCGUCAGCUUCUUAGAGGGACUAUCGG